This 253-nucleotide ribosomal RNA is filed under the name uncultured bacterium. Its description in RNAcentral is "partial 16S ribosomal RNA". It matches the Rfam family "Bacterial small subunit ribosomal RNA", at positions 524 to 776 of the family's 1533-position model. The record is from RNAcentral.
UACGAAGGGGGCUAGCGUUGUUCGGAUUUACUGGGCGUAAAGCGCACGUAGGCGGAUCGUUAAGUCAGGGGUGAAAUCCUGGAGCUCAACUCCAGAACUGCCUUGGAUACUGAGGAUCUUGAGUACGGGAGAGGUGAGUGGAACUGCGAGUGUAGAGGUGAAAUUCGUAGAUAUUCGCAAGAACACCAGUGGCGAAGGCGGCUCACUGGCCCGUAACUGACGCUGAGGCACGAAAGCGUGGGGAGCAAACAGG